UGUAAAAAUCAAACUUCGUCAAUUAUUAUUUAAGCUUUUUCCAACUUAUGAAUAUGAAUAAUGUAAAAAUUAAAAUACCGUUGAGAUUUUAUCCCUCAAUGUCCUAUAUGGCUAUAUAUAUUGGGUGAGAAUGAUAGAGGGAAUAGGAAACAACUCACUACAUUAAUACAAUGUAUUAAUUGGAUAAGAGCAAAAGAGGAGAGAGAAAGAAGAGAGAAGAGUACGUAACAUAAUAAUGGCUAGUCAAAAGGGAUGUGUUGUAGCUAGGGCUAUGUUUCUAAGUUGGCUUCUAUUGCUACUAGUUUUACUGCCUUCUGUCUUUGUUGAUGCAGCAAGGGCUCCAUCCGGGCCCUCCGGCCCCAACCCUCAAACCCAACCCAAGGAAAUGGUGUAUUAUCCUCAAGGUUGCCGUUGUUGCUGGUUUAAUUUCAAACCCCAAAUCAGUUGUGGAGCCGUGUGUUGUGGAGAUGGAUGCACUUGCUCCUAAACAUCUUAAGUUGCUGGGAUCGAGAUUUGCAACAUCUUAAUUACGGAUUAACGUCGUUUUAUUUUCUUGUAAUAAUUAGAAUAAAGAGGAGUAAUUAAUUUACCCCUGGUGAAAUGUUUGCUUCUUUACAUUUUUAUUGUCGUGUUACUUUGUAAUUUUGUAUUCUUCUAUACAAAAAUGUAUACACGCGGUAUUGUGGUGUUAUGUAUUAGAUCAAUUUCUUACCAAACAUUUGUGUUCCGGUGUUGAAGUGGAUGAAAUAAUGGGCUUCGAAUGAAGGCCCUUUUGUGUGUGUUGAA
Molecule: long non-coding RNA, 786 nt
Organism: Spinacia oleracea (spinach)
Lineage: Eukaryota; Viridiplantae; Streptophyta; Magnoliopsida; Caryophyllales; Amaranthaceae
Exons: 2
Source: RefSeq, a predicted model, not a curated record